GCGCGAAACCUCUGCAAUGCGCGAAAGCGCGACAGGGCCACCCCGAGUGCUAGCCGCUGAGGUUAGCUUUUCCUUAGUGUAGUAAGCUAAGGGAAUAAGCGGGGGGCAAGCCUGGUGUCAGCCGCCGCGGUAAUACCAGCUCCGCGAGUGGUCGGGACGAUUAUUGGGCCUAAAGCGUCCGUAGCCGGCCUAUCAAGCCUCUGGUUAAACCUCAAGGCUCAACCUUGGGACCGCUGGAGAUACUGUUAGGCUAGGGGGCGGGAGAGGUUGAGGGUACUUCGCGGGUAGGGGCGAAAUCCUAUAAUCCGCGAAGGACCACCAGUGGCGAAGGCGCUCAACUGGAACGCGCCCGACGGUGAGGGACGAAAGCCAGGGGAGCAAAGGGGAUUAGAUACCCCCGUAGUCCUGGCUGUAAACGAUGCGGGCUAGGUGUUGGGUUGGCUUCGUGCCAACCCGGUGCCGCAGUGAAGACGAUAAGCCCGCCGCCUGGGAAGUACGGCUGCAAGGCUGAAACUUAAAGGAAUUGGCGGGGGAGCACCACAAGGGGUGAAGCCUGCGGUUUAAUUGGAGUCAACGCCGGGAAUCUUACCGGGAGCGACAGCAAGAUGAAGGCCAAGCUGACGACUUUGUUAGAUGGGCU
This 640-nucleotide ribosomal RNA is filed under the name uncultured crenarchaeote. RNAcentral describes it as "bacterial SSU rRNA". It matches the Rfam family "Archaeal small subunit ribosomal RNA", at positions 339 to 981 of the family's 1478-position model. Lineage: Archaea; Thermoproteati; Thermoproteota. The record is from RNAcentral.